GUUUCAUUGUCUGUGCCUGGCUCUGUGCAGUGGGAAAGCCUUCCCUUUCCAGUGCAAAGCAAAAUCACAGCAACAUAAUGGGAUUCGCAGGCAGUCUCCUAUCCAGGCCAGAGUUAGAUCUCACCAGACUGAGAUGUGCAAAAGAUCACCAAAGAGGCUGUGCCAUAUGUCUUCAGACCAAAUCCUGGAAGGAUGCUGGGUAUUCAGAGUAAAAUGAUUUGGGAUUAGCAACGGCCAGGCAACAAGAAUCCACAGGAAACCAUUUGUAGUGUUUAUAAUAAAAUGACGAUUUCUGGCAAACUAGCCAACUCAUCAUAUAAACUCCUCAUAUACCAGAUCUGUUCUUAUUCACAUGUUCCACUAGAUGGCAACAUAUAAAACAGGAUGCAUUUGCUUCUAAUGGUCAAACGUUAGGACACAAAAAGUUUGCUUCGGAAUACAGGCCAGCGCAAAGCAAGCUGAGUGACAAAUGGGAUGGGA
Podarcis raffonei (Aeolian wall lizard) is the source of this 480-nucleotide long non-coding RNA. RefSeq lists it as uncharacterized. Lineage: Eukaryota; Metazoa; Chordata; Lepidosauria; Squamata; Lacertidae. The transcript is spliced from 3 exons. The record is from RefSeq and is a predicted model, not a curated record.